AGGUCAGGCUGGCCUUGAAUUCACUAUGCAGCCCAGGCUGGGCUCGGCCUCAAAUUCAUGGCAAUCCUCCUACCUCAGCCUCCUGAGUGCUGGGAUUCAAGGUGCACACCACGACGCCCGGCCAUAAACUGAUUUUUUAAAGAAUGUCUCCAUUUCUUCCAUCUAAUCUGACAGAUUUAUUCACAUACAGGUGUUCUUAAUGUCUUCCUAUUUUCCUUUUCAUAUCUGUAGGAUCUGUGGUGAUAGCUCAGUUUUCAUGAUAAUAUUGACACUUUGUGUAUUCUCUCUCACAGCCUUUUUUUUCCCCCUUUUUGGUUUUUUGAGACAGGGUCUCACUAUGUAGUCCAGACUGGCUUUGAACUCACAAUGUAGCCAAGGCUGGUCUCAAACUUGCAGCAAUCAUCCUGCCUCAGCCUUCCAAAUGCUGGGAUUACAGGACACAGACUCUUGAUCAGCAGACGCCGUGCUUUCCGGGGGCAUCCUGUUGAUCAGGGACUGGCAGGCAGAAAAACUCAGAGGUGUGAGCUCCAGUGCAGAGAGGCCCCUGAUUACUGGGGUGAAGGAGGCUGGGCGGAGCUCCUCCCCCCAGACUCUGUGUCUAAUCGCUGUGGACACAACUCUGGCUUCUUCCUCCUCUGAGACGUCUGAGUUCUGCUUGUCCCUAAAAAAAGCAGUUUAUUUAAGCAAAAUUCCUAACUUCAAAAAGGAACUAAAUAUAACAUAUAUAAUUAUGUUGACAGAAAUAAAUGCUAAAAUGCAAAAAUGGCAAGUGAUGAACAUUAAAUAGAAAAUAUUACUAUGGAGCAGAUGGAAAUUGUGACAGAGUAGAUGAACUUUGUUCAGAGCAGAUAACACUCAUUUCAAAAUGAAGUUAUUUCCUCUGUCGUAAGAAAGCACAACUAGAGAUCAAGACUUCAGGAAAUGUGUCCUGACAACCCAAAGACAUGAAAGUGUAGGAAAGAAACAGAAACAAUGAUUCUGGAAAUGAAAGCUGAGAAUUGAAAGUAACACAAAGGAACUUGGAAUUGUGGCAUCUGCCUGUGAUCCUGGCACUGGGGAGGCUGAGGCAGGAAGGUUGCCAUGCAUUCAAGGCCAGCAUGGGCUACAUAGUGAGUUCAAGGCCAGCUUGAAUUACACAGUGAAACCUUGUCUCAAAGAACAAAAAUGAAGCAAAACAAAACCAAACAUGUAUUUUUUUUCAAGAAAUCUGCCCCAAAAUAAAGAGGACUUCAAUAGA
Molecule: non-coding RNA, 1237 nt
Organism: Heterocephalus glaber (naked mole-rat)
Lineage: Eukaryota; Metazoa; Chordata; Mammalia; Rodentia; Bathyergidae
Source: RefSeq, a predicted model, not a curated record